GUGGAUGUGGCUCAAAGGUAGAGCAUUUGCCUAACAUGCAUGAGGCACUGGGUUCGAUCCUCAGUGCCACA
Molecule: transfer RNA, 71 nt
Filed under: Ictidomys tridecemlineatus (thirteen-lined ground squirrel)
Lineage: Eukaryota; Metazoa; Chordata; Mammalia; Rodentia; Sciuridae
Description: Spermophilus tridecemlineatus (thirteen-lined ground squirrel) tRNA
Rfam family: tRNA
About the family: Transfer RNA (tRNA) molecules are approximately 80 nucleotides in length. Their secondary structure includes four short double-helical elements and three loops (D, anti-codon, and T loops).
Source: Rfam by way of RNAcentral